GAUGAACGCUGGCGGCGUGCCUAAUACAUGCAAGUCGAGCGAACGGACGAGAAGCUUGCUUCUCUGAUGUUAGCGGCGGACGGGUGAGUAACACGUGGAUAACCUACCUAUAAGACUGGGAUAACUUCGGGAAACCGGAGCUAAUACCGGAUAAUAUUUUGAACCGCAUGGUUCAAAAGUGAAAGACGGUCUUGCUGUCACUUAUAGGUGGAUCCGCGCUGCAUUAGCUAGUUGGUAAGGUAACGGCUUACCAAGGCAACGAUGCAUAGCCGACCUGAGAGGGUGAUCGGCCACACUGGAACUGAGACACGGUCCAGACUCCUACGGGAGGCAGCAGUAGGGAAUCUUCCGCAAUGGGCGAAAGCCUGACGGAGCAACGCCGCGUGAGUGAUGAAGGUCUUCGGAUCGUAAAACUCUGUUAUUAGGGAAGAACAUAUGUGUAAGUAACUGUGCACAUCUUGACGGUACCUAAUCAGAAAGCCACGGCUAACUACGUGCCAGCAGCCGCGGUAAUACGUAGGUGGCAAGCGUUAUCCGGAAUUAUUGGGCGUAAAGCGCGCGUAGGCGGUUUUUUAAGUCUGAUGUGAAAGCCCACGGCUCAACCGUGGAGGGUCAUUGGAAACUGGAAAACUUGAGUGCAGAAGAGGAAAGUGGAAUUCCAUGUGUAGCGGUGAAAUGCGCAGAGAUAUGGAGGAACACCAGUGGCGAAGGCGACUUUCUGGUCUGUAACUGACGCUGAUGUGCGAAAGCGUGGGGAUCAAACAGGAUUAGAUACCCUGGUAGUCCACGCCGUAAACGAUGAGUGCUAAGUGUUAGGGGGUUUCCGCCCCUUAGUGCUGCAGCUAACGCAUUAAGCACUCCGCCUGGGGAGUACGACCGCAAGGUUGAAACUCAAAGGAAUUGACGGGGACCCGCACAAGCGGUGGAGCAUGUGGUUUAAUUCGAAGCAACGCGAAGAACCUUACCAAAUCUUGACAUCCUUUGACAACUCUAGAGAUAGAGCCUUCCCCUUCGGGGGACAAAGUGACAGGUGGUGCAUGGUUGUCGUUAGCUCGUGUCGUGAGAUGUUGGGUUAAGUCCCGCAACGAGCGCAACCCUUAAGCUUAGUUGCCAUCAUUAAGUUGGGCACUCUAAGUUGACUGCCGGUGACAAACCGGAGGAAGGUGGGGAUGACGUCAAAUCAUCAUGCCCCUUAUGAUUUGGGCUACACACGUGCUACAAUGGACAAUACAAAGGGCAGCGAAACCGCGAGGUCAAGCAAAUCCCAUAAAGUUGUUCUCAGUUCGGAUUGUAGUCUGCAACUCGACUACAUGAAGCUGGAAUCGCUAGUAAUCGUAGAUCAGCAUGCUGCGGUGAAUACGUUCCCGGGUCU
Molecule: ribosomal RNA, 1372 nt
Filed under: uncultured bacterium
Lineage: Bacteria
Description: bacterial SSU rRNA
Rfam family: Bacterial small subunit ribosomal RNA
Source: RNAcentral